AAAGAGAAGACAGAAGGAAAAAAUGCACGGUGAGGGGAGAGAGACAGAGAGUGAUAAAGAGAAGAAAAGAAAGGGAGAACUGCCAUCAAACGAGGAAGAAGAGAAAGAAGGAGAAGAAGAUGACGGAGAGAGAAGUUGCCACCGCCACUUUCUUCACCUCCAGCACCGUCUCUGCCUUGCGCUGUUGUUGUUGUUUCUACCUUGCGCUGCCAGAUCUGCCACUACUGUAAUCCCUCUUCUCUGCUCGUCGUCGUCAUGUUUCUCAUUACUCGAGCUCACGCCUUGUUCUGCUCUGCUCCGUCGUGUUUUUCUGCUCGCGCCUUUCUGAAACCUUUGCUCUGCUCCGCCGUGGUGCCGUGCUCUAUCCUCUCAGGCAAAUCAACAACUCUCCGCCGUUCUCCUCUUUCACUCAAGCCUCUCGCCUCAGCCUUGGUCCUCAGCAUCUCUUCCUCCAUCGUCGUCGUUGAAGGCUUGUAGAUUGAUUUUACAUACUACUUGAUUAAUUUAGUUGAAUUAAUAACAAUAGUUCCAUUUCGAGCUCGAUCAUGUCGAAGGACAAAGACUUUACCGAUUUGUCGCUCACCUUCAAAUACCUCUUAGGCAUCUUAUGGCUCUGUGUUUUCCUCUGAAGAUUAUCAAAGAAGUGUUACUAAUGGUGAGCUUCAAAAAAAGAUGAAUGAUGAAAAAAAGAUUACAAGGUGCUGCACUUGCUCUAUUCUGUUUAUUUUUAAGAACAUUGUCUUACUCCUCUACACAAUCAGUGGUUUGAGUUAUCUUCAGUUUAUUUAUCAAUAAAAAGUUUGGAAAUAUUGAUAGUGCACUAAUUAUAUAUAACUAAUUCACAUGAAUUAAUUUUUAUGGGAGAAUCGAUUUCCCUCUGUUCUUCACAAUGCACAUUCAUGUAUGGCAUUUUACUAAGCUGAUGAAAAGCUUUUUUGUUAGCUGAAACUUCUGCUCUUCUCCGCCAUUUUGAAAUCUCUUCUCUGCCAUUUUGAAAUCUCUGACUUGCACUGCCAUUGCCAUUUCUACCUGCGCUGCCGGAUCCGCCGCUGCUGUAAUCCCUCUUUUCCGCCUUGCGCUACCUGAGUCGUCUCUGGUCGUCAUCGCUGCUUGAUGGUUGUCGUCGGCUCGCCAAUGCCUCACGUCCUCGCUGCUCUGCCUGAGCUGUCUCUGCUGUAAUCCUUACUGCUCGCUGUAAUCAUGUCUUAGGUUAGGAUUUUUUCUCCUCUGUAAUCUUAGGAAGCUAAUUCUAUUCUCAAAUUGGGGAAAUUGAGGAAUGUGUUUAGGAUGUAUAUAUGUUCUUUGAGAGGGUCUAGUGUAUGUGCUUAUUGAAUAUGCUUUUUCGAGUUGCUAGCAUAUAAUGCUAUGCUUUGAGGUUCGAGGCCCAAACAUGUUCAGAAACAACUCUUGUGGUUAGUACGGGCAACAGCAGAAGCUUUCAGAGUUGCUGAUGCUCCUGCCAAGGUUUUCUUUCUUCUGAUG
Arachis ipaensis is the source of this 1482-nucleotide non-coding RNA. The record is from RefSeq and is a predicted model, not a curated record. Lineage: Eukaryota; Viridiplantae; Streptophyta; Magnoliopsida; Fabales; Fabaceae.